This 657-nucleotide ribosomal RNA is filed under the name uncultured bacterium. RNAcentral's name for it is "bacterial SSU rRNA". It matches the Rfam family "Bacterial small subunit ribosomal RNA", at positions 118 to 791 of the family's 1533-position model. The record is from RNAcentral.
UGAGGAACCUGCCUCAAAGAGGGGGACAACAGUUGCAAACGACUGCUAAUACCGCAUAAGCCCACAGCUCGGCAUCGAGCAGAGGGAAAAGGAGCAAUCCGCUUUGAGAUGGCCUCGCGUCCGAUUAGCUAGUUGGUGAGGUAACGGCCCACCAAGGCGACGAUCGGUAGCCGGACUGAGAGGUUGAACGGCCACAUUGGGACUGAGACACGGCCCAGACUCCUACGGGAGGCAGCAGUGGGGAAUAUUGCACAAUGGGGGAAACCCUGAUGCAGCGACGCCGCGUGGAGGAAGAAGGUCUUCGGAUUGUAAACUCCUGUUGUUGAGGAAGAUAAUGACGGUACUCAACAAGGAAGUGACGGCUAACUACGUGCCAGCAGCCGCGGUAAAACGUAGGUCACAAGCGUUGUCCGGAAUUACUGGGUGUAAAGGGAGCGCAGGCGGGAGAACAAGUUGGAAGUGAAAUCCAUGGGCUCAACCCAUGAACUGCUUUCAAAACUGUUUUUCUUGAGUAGUGCAGAGGUAGGCGGAAUUCCCGGUGUAGCGGUGGAAUGCGUAGAUAUCGGGAGGAACACCAGUGGCGAAGGCGGCCUACUGGGCACCAACUGACGCUGAGGCUCGAAAGUGUGGGUAGCAAACAGGAUUAGAUACCCUGGU